This 467-nucleotide ribosomal RNA is filed under the name uncultured bacterium. RNAcentral's name for it is "partial 16S ribosomal RNA". It matches the Rfam family "Bacterial small subunit ribosomal RNA", at positions 28 to 507 of the family's 1533-position model. The record is from RNAcentral.
GAUGAACGCUGGCGGCGUGCUUAACACAUGCAAGUCGAACGGAAAGGCUCCUGCUUGCAGGGGUACUCGAGUGGCGAACGGGUGAGUAACACGUGGGUGAUCUGCCCUGCACUUCGGGAUAAGCCUGGGAAACUGGGUCUAAUACCGGAUAGGACCACAUUUUGGAUGGUGUGGUGGAAAGUUUUUCGGUGUGGGAUGAGCUCGCGGCCUAUCAGCUUGUUGGUGGGGUAAUGGCCUACCAAGGCGUCGACGGGUAGCCGGCCUGAGAGGUUGUACGGCCACAUUGGGACUGAGAUACGGCCCAGACUCCUACGGGAGGCAGCAGUGGGGAAUAUUGCACAAUGGGCGCAAGCCUGAUGCAGCGACGCCGCGUGGGGGAUGACGGCCUUCGGGUUGUAAACUCCUUUCGCUAGGGACGAAGCGUUUUUGUGACGGUACCUGGAGAAGAAGCACCGGCUAACUACGUG